AGCGUACACGGUGGAUGCCCUGGCAGUCAGAGGCGAUGAAGGACGUGCUAAUCUGCGAUAAGCGUCGGUAAGGUGAUAUGAACCGUUAUAACCGGCGAUUUCCGAAUGGGGAAACCCAGUGUGUUUCGACACACUAUCAUUAACUGAAUCCAUAGGUUAAUGAGGCGAACCGGGGGAACUGAAACAUCUAAGUACCCCGAGGAAAAGAAAUCAACCGAGAUUCCCCCAGUAGCGGCGAGCGAACGGGGAGCAGCCCAGAGCCUGAAUCAGUGUGUGUGUUAGUGGAAGCGUCUGGAAAGGCGCGCGAUACAGGGUGACAGCCCCGUACACAAAAAUGCACAUGCUGUGAGCUCGAUGAGUAGGGCGGGACACGUGGUAUCCUGUCUGAAUAUGGGGGGACCAUCCUCCAAGGCUAAAUACUCCUGACUGACCGAUAGUGAACCAGUACCGUGAGGGAAAGGCGAAAAGAACCCCGGCGAGGGGAGUGAAAAAGAACCUGAAACCGUGUACGUACAAGCAGUGGGAGCACGCUUAGGCGUGUGACUGCGUACCUUUUGUAUAAUGGGUCAGCGACUUAUAUUCUGUAGCAAGGUUAACCGAAUAGGGGAGCCGAAGGGAAACCGAGUCUUAACUGGGCGUUAAGUUGCAGGGUAUAGACCCGAAACCCGGUGAUCUAGCCAUGGGCAGGUUGAAGGUUGGGUAACACUAACUGGAGGACCGAACCGACUAAUGUUGAAAAAUUAGCGGAUGACUUGUGGCUGGGGGUGAAAGGCCAAUCAAACCGGGAGAUAGCUGGUUCUCCCCGAAAGCUAUUUAGGUAGCGCCUCGUGAAUUCAUCUCCGGGGGUAGAGCACUGUUUCGGCAAGGGGGUCAUCCCGACUUACCAACCCGAUGCAAACUGCGAAUACCGGAGAAUGUUAUCACGGGAGACACACGGCGGGUGCUAACGUCCGUCGUGAAGAGGGAAACAACCCAGACCGCCAGCUAAGGUCCCAAAGUCAUGGUUAAGUGGGAAACGAUGUGGGAAGGCCCAGACAGCCAGGAUGUUGGCUUAGAAGCAGCCAUCAUUUAAAGAAAGCGUAAUAGCUCACUGGUCGAGUCGGCCUGCGCGGAAGAUGUAACGGGGCUAAACCAUGCACCGAAGCUGCGGCAGCGACACUAUGUGUUGUUGGGUAGGGGAGCGUUCUGUAAGCCUGCGAAGGUGUACUGUGAGGUAUGCUGGAGGUAUCAGAAGUGCGAAUGCUGACAUAAGUAACGAUAAAGCGGGUGAAAAGCCCGCUCGCCGGAAGACCAAGGGUUCCUGUCCAACGUUAAUCGGGGCAGGGUGAGUCGACCCCUAAGGCGAGGCCGAAAGGCGUAGUCGAUGGGAAACAGGUUAAUAUUCCUGUACUUGGUGUUACUGCGAAGGGGGGACGGAGAAGGCUAUGUUAGCCGGGCGACGGUUGUCCCGGUUUAAGCAUGUAGGCGGAGGUUCCAGGUAAAUCCGGUACCUUUUUAACGCUGAGGUGUGAUGACGAGGCACUACGGUGCUGAAGUAACAAAUGCCCUGCUUCCAGGAAAAGCCUCUAAGCAUCAGGUAACAUUGAAUCGUACCCCAAACCGACACAGGUGGUCAGGUAGAGAAUACCAAGGCGCUUGAGAGAACUCGGGUGAAGGAACUAGGCAAAAUGGUGCCGUAACUUCGGGAGAAGGCACGCUGAUAUGUAGGUGAAGCGACUUGCUCGUGGAGCUGAAAUCAGUCGAAGAUACCAGCUGGCUGCAACUGUUUAUUAAAAACACAGCACUGUGCAAACACGAAAGUGGACGUAUACGGUGUGACGCCUGCCCGGUGCCGGAAGGUUAAUUGAUGGGGUUAGCGGUAACGAGAAGCUCUUGAUCGAAGCCCCGGUAAACGGCGGCCGUAACUAUAACGGUCCUAAGGUAGCGAAAUUCCUUGUCGGGUAAGUUCCGACCUGCACGAAUGGCGUAAUGAUGGCCAGGCUGUCUCCACCCGAGACUCAGUGAAAUUGAACUCGCUGUGAAGAUGCAGUGUACCCGCGGCAAGACGGAAAGACCCCGUGAACCUUUACUAUAGCUUGACACUGAACAUUGAGCCUUGAUGUGUAGGAUAGGUGGGAGGCUUUGAAGUGUGGACGCCAGUCUGCAUGGAGCCGACCUUGAAAUACCACCCUUUAAUGUUUGAUGUUCUAACGUUGGCCCCUGAUCGGGGUUGCGGACAGUGUCUGGUGGGUAGUUUGACUGGGGCGGUCUCCUCCUAAAGAGUAACGGAGGAGCACGAAGGUUGGCUAAUCCUGGUCGGACAUCAGGAGGUUAGUGCAAUGGCAUAAGCCAGCUUGACUGCGAGCGUGACGGCGCGAGCAGGUGCGAAAGCAGGUCAUAGUGAUCCGGUGGUUCUGAAUGGAAGGGCCAUCGCUCAACGGAUAAAAGGUACUCCGGGGAUAACAGGCUGAUACCGCCCAAGAGUUCAUAUCGACGGCGGUGUUUGGCACCUCGAUGUCGGCUCAUCACAUCCUGGGGCUGAAGUAGGUCCCAAGGGUAUGGCUGUUCGCCAUUUAAAGUGGUACGCGAGCUGGGUUUAGAACGUCGUGAGACAGUUCGGUCCCUAUCUGCCGUGGGCGCUGGAGAACUGAGGGGGGCUGCUCCUAGUACGAGAGGACCGGAGUGGACGCAUCACUGGUGUUCGGGUUGUCAUGCCAAUGGCACUGCCCGGUAGCUAAAUGCGGAAGAGAUAAGUGCUGAAAGCAUCUAAGCACGAAACUUGCCCCGAGAUGAGUUCUCCCUGACUCCUUGA
Molecule: ribosomal RNA, 2791 nt
Filed under: human gut metagenome
Description: bacterial LSU rRNA
Rfam family: Bacterial large subunit ribosomal RNA
Source: RNAcentral